UAAUAAGUGUUUUUAUGGCACUUUUUAAAUCCAUAUCCACCUUGCGUGCAAUGUCGGUCGAUCUUCUUUUUUUGAGGAUCGACCAAACAUCAACCUUUAUUUUUUAACUCUUUGUCUGAAAAAUAUUAUGAAUAAACAAUUCAAAAGUA
Molecule: unclassified non-coding RNA, 149 nt
Filed under: soil metagenome
Description: partial internal transcribed spacer 1
Source: RNAcentral